This 1345-nucleotide long non-coding RNA is filed under the name Olea europaea subsp. europaea. The record is from RNAcentral. Lineage: Eukaryota; Viridiplantae; Streptophyta; Magnoliopsida; Lamiales; Oleaceae.
AUUCUGUUUAAAUUUCAAUGUCUUACAUACAUAAUGGUGUUCCAUCUUUGUUGAGUCAUGCUCAACUUUUUUUUUUUUUUUUUUUUUUAAUUAUGAAAUUUCUUGUGAAACCACUUUUGGUCAAUAACUUGCAGGCCUAUGCCUCUUACAUGGAGGGAAUUUUUUUUAGUUGAACAAGAUCAGCACUAGGAAAAAUGAAAGGGCCUGGUCUCGACCUUUUCAAAGCUAAAUUGGAGGUUUGUAUUUUUCCAAGUAUGCAAUCUUGUUAUGGAUGUAGUUGCUAUGUUCUGAUUAUAUUCUUUUUCAUAGGUCAAGGGGAGGGUGUUUUAUUUAUAGCCUCUAUGGCAUGAGGAAAAAAAGAAACUACGUGGGCGUUUCGGCUUGAUUUAAUCCUCAUUGUCCCGUUAUUUUAAUUUAGUUGUUUUCAUUGUAGGAUACCAUAGCUGAGAUUAGAUAUCAACAAGCUGCAUCCAGGGGCGAACCCACAGUGGGUCCUGGUGGGUCACGUGACCCACCAAGUUUGAUUUUUUUCAAUAUGAAUUCAUCAGAUUAGAGUCCUAUUAUAGCUGCAAAUUUGAAAAGGAAAUCCCACCAACCGUCCCAUAAUUUCUGCCUUACUUGAACCCUUCCUUAAUCUCCUUCUUGCCUUGAGUGUUGCCAGCGAUUGGAGCCACUAUCAGAGUCAAAGUCAUCUGCCAUCAACCAUCCGGUUGUGCAGCUGAUUCAGUCGAGUGAUGCUGCUGCCGUUUCAACCAUGCGUGGCCUACCUCCCAUCUUUGAUAGUUGCCACCGCCAUUUGUCGCCAUAGCCGUCCGCUUCCCAAGAACCCAAGUUUAGUACAGAUUCUACAUACUUUAGUCUUUAAAUUAUUUUAUGUUUUGAACUUUGAUUUUACUUACAUCUCUUGAUCUCUAGUUGAAAGCACAUUUGGAAAAAUGACAACUUCUUUUAGAGGAUGGGGUUCAUAAUAGUAGCCUUUUUUUCAAAAAAAAAAAGGACUGCAGUUGCCUUUCAAUGUAAAGUAUUCCUCCAUAUAUCCCAAACAUAUGGUUCAAGUAUCAAGACCGAUUCUAGUUACUAAAGUAACCUCUUCUUCAUUCGAAAUCUUGUUUCAGGUCCUGUAUAAUUAUGAAUGAAUUUAAUGUAGACUAGUUAAUGUAUAUUUCUGAUUUUGAGUUUUCAUUGCAACAAGUCAGCUUUCUUGACAAUUAGUUAUGGUGAAGAGUGAAUUCUGAAUAUAUGAUUUGUGAUUUGGAAAUUUCUCUGGAUUUGUUAAACUAGGCAUGUAAAUGUUAGGGAUUGAAUAUGCCUGGGGCAAAUCUGGAUAUAUGAUUUGUGAUUUGGG